Molecule: ribosomal RNA, 797 nt
Filed under: uncultured bacterium
Lineage: Bacteria
Description: bacterial SSU rRNA
Rfam family: Bacterial small subunit ribosomal RNA
Source: RNAcentral
GGUGCUUUUGAACCACUACGAGAGUAUCCUAGUGGCGAAAGGGUGAGUAACGCGUUGGUGACCUGCCCCAAAGUGUGGGAUAACAGUCCGAAAGGAUUGCUAAUACCGCAUGUGGUCUCUGGAUUUACAAACCGGUGACUAAAGCAGCAAUGCACUUUGGGAGGGACCUGCGUCCCAUCAGCUAGUUGGUGAGGUAACGGCUCACCAAGGCGAUGACGGGUAGGGGACCUGAGAGGGUGGCCCCCCACAACGGAACUGAAACACGGUCCAUACACCUACGGGUGGCAGCAGUAGGGAAUAUUGCUCAAUGGGCGAAAGCCUGAAGCAGCAACGCCGCGUGCGCGAUGAAGGUCUUCGGAUCGUAGAGCGCUUUUCUGCGAGAUGAGAAAGGACAGUAUCGUAGGAAUAAGUCGCGGCUAACUACGUGCCAGCAGCCGCGGUAACACGUGGGAGGCGAGCGUUAUCCGGAUUCACUGGGCGUAAAGCGCGCGCAGGUGGUUUGGUAAGUUGGGCGAGAAAGCUCCUGGCUCAACUGGGAGAGGUCGUUCAAUACUACCGAACUAGAGAUUAGAAGAGGAAGAUGGAAUUCCCGGUGUAGUGGUGAAAUGGGUAGAUAUCUGGAGGAACACCAGUGGCGAAGGCGAUUUUCUGGUCUAUUUUUGACACUCAUACGCGACAGCUAGGGUAGUAAACGGGAUUAGAGACCCCGGUAAUCAUAGCUGUAAACGACUUGAACUUGGCGUCGGUGGUUUAAACACUAUCGGUGCCGAAGCAAACGCGAUAAGUUCACCGCCUGG